Molecule: ribosomal RNA, 1591 nt
Filed under: Salmonella enterica subsp. enterica serovar Newport
Lineage: Bacteria; Pseudomonadati; Pseudomonadota; Gammaproteobacteria; Enterobacterales; Enterobacteriaceae
Description: partial 23S ribosomal RNA
Rfam family: Bacterial large subunit ribosomal RNA
Source: RNAcentral
CCCGAGGAAAAGAAAUCAACCGAGAUUCCCCCAGUAGCGGCGAGCGAACGGGGAGGAGCCCAGAGCCUGAAUCAGCAUGUGUGUUAGUGGAAGCGUCUGGAAAGGCGCGCGAUACAGGGUGACAGCCCCGUACACAAAAGCGCAUGUGCUGUGAGCUCGAUGAGUAGGGCGGGACACGUGGUAUCCUGUCUGAAUAUGGGGGGACCAUCCUCCAAGGCUAAAUACUCCUGACUGACCGAUAGUGAACCAGUACCGUGAGGGAAAGGCGAAAAGAACCCCGGCGAGGGGAGUGAAAAAGAACCUGAAACCGUGUACGUACAAGCAGUGGGAGCACAGGUUUACCUGUGUGACUGCGUACCUUUUGUAUAAUGGGUCAGCGACUUAUAUUCUGUAGCAAGGUUAACCGAAUAGGGGAGCCGGAGGGAAACCGAGUCUUAAUUGGGCGUUAAGUUGCAGGGUAUAGACCCGAAACCCGGUGAUCUAGCCAUGGGCAGGUUGAAGGUUGGGUAACACUAACUGGAGGACCGAACCGACUAAUGUUGAAAAAUUAGCGGAUGACCUGUGGCUGGGGGUGAAAGGCCAAUCAAACCGGGAGAUAGCUGGUUCUCCCCGAAAGCUAUUUAGGUAGCGCCUCGUGAAUUCAUCUCCGGGGGUAGAGCACUGUUUCGGCUAGGGGGCCAUCCCGGCUUACCAACCCGAUGCAAACUGCGAAUACCGGAGAAUGUUAUCACGGGAGACACACGGCGGGUGCUAACGUCCGUCGUGAAGAGGGAAACAACCCAGACCGCCAGCUAAGGUCCCAAAGUCAUGGUUAAGUGGGAAACGAUGUGGGAAGGCCCAGACAGCCAGGAUGUUGGCUUAGAAGCAGCCAUCAUUUAAAGAAAGCGUAAUAGCUCACUGGUCGAGUCGGCCUGCGCGGAAGAUGUAACGGGGCUAAACCAUGCACCGAAGCUGCGGCAGCGAACGUAUCACUUAAAGCGAUUCAGCGGGUUACGAUUGACGGAGCGAAGCGACGUCAAAGCGUAUACAAAGUCGAGUCGGUUUAAGGAUACGUUCGUUGGGUAGGGGAGCGUUCUGUAAGCCUGUGAAGGUGGCCUGUGAGGGUUGCUGGAGGUAUCAGAAGUGCGAAUGCUGACAUAAGUAACGAUAAAGCGGGUGAAAAGCCCGCUCGCCGGAAGACCAAGGGUUCCUGUCCAACGUUAAUCGGGGCAGGGUGAGUCGACCCCUAAGGCGAGGCCGAAAGGCGUAGUCGAUGGGAAACGGGUUAAUAUUCCCGUACUUGGUGUUACUGCGAAGGGGGGACGGAGAAGGCUAUGUUGGCCGGGCGACGGUUGUCCCGGUUUAAGCGUGUAGGUGUGUGUUCCAGGUAAAUCCGGUUCACUUUAACACUGAGGCGUGACGACGAGGCACUACGGUGCUGAAGCAACAAAUGCCCUGCUUCCAGGAAAAGCCUCUAAGCAUCAGGUAACAUCAAAUCGUACCCCAAACCGACACAGGUGGUCAGGUAGAGAAUACCAAGGCGCUUGAGAGAACUCGGGUGAAGGAACUAGGCAAAAUGGUGCCGUAACUUCGGGAGAAGGCACGCUGACAC